GGAGUUUCCGUUCAUUAAAAUCUAAUUCAUACGGGAGUUCAACUAUAUGUUGCGUUCUAUUCCAGAAAGCAUUAGGGACAUCAGAACAUAUUUAUUUUUCAAGAACUAUUAUUAAAGUACUUAUUUUAUGUUGUAAUUCUAGAGAUAACAAUUUUUCCUCAAUGGUCUUAUACUUAAUUUCUUAUUUUAGAUAAUAGAGGAAUUCUCCUUAGUAGAGAUUUUAUUCUUAAUAUUAUUUAUUUCAUGAACUCGGGGCUUAUCUAUAAAGGUAAAUUUUACCUCAUGCCCUUCAAUGUUAGUCUCAAUUCCUGUAUCAUCAAUUUUGAUUGUGUAAAGCAUAUUUAGAAAAGGAGUUCCAAGAAUAAUAGGUUAACUCAAACCUUUAACCAUGAUAAAAGGAAAUUUAAAACAUGGUCCAUUGUUGCAAACUGCAGCAUUAGAUAAUUUAUAGUUUAUUAACAUUUUACUACCAUCAGUAGUGUUUAAAAUUUGGGUAGUCUUGCUAAAAUAUGUUGUAGGUACUAAGCCCUCAUUUAUGCAAUUUAAAUCAGCUCCAGAGUCAAUUAGGGCAGUGGUUUGAAAACUAUAUUAUUUCUGUACUACUGUUUUAACAAUAGUAAACCAUUGUUGAGUUAUGACUUUAUCUAAAAGGUUGAUGUAUUUAAAAUUCUGAAGCUUGGUUUGUUCUAGGACAAGGUAUUUAUUUGAAGUUUCAGACUUCUCAUUUUCUAGAACUUUUGGGCGUGUAUCUUCAACUUCUUGUGGUAGCAGAUUAUGGUGGUAUUCAUUUAUUAAAUUGUUGAAUUCAACUUUAGUAUUCUCAAUGGGAAUUUCCUCAUUUUUAUUAAAAGUAGUAGUAGCCAUAUCUAAGAUUUGAACUCUAGUUUUUAGAGUUAUUAAUUCGUUUCACACUUCAUUUAUUUCAUGUUUUGGCUCAGGGAUUGAAGGUUCUGUCAUAGUUUGAGUAUUGUUUUGAACUCUUUCAAGGAUAUCUUUUAAAUUGUAUUCUUCUCUUGUUGGUACGAGAGAAGUCUAGGGGUUAGUAGGUCUAGAAAGAUCUUUUACCAUAUUGAUAUAUUGAAUUAAGACUUCUCAUUUAGCCUCGGGGUCAUCAAUUUUAUCUAUUUAGUCAAUGAUUAAGCUUUUC
Molecule: long non-coding RNA, 1147 nt
Filed under: Amborella trichopoda
Lineage: Eukaryota; Viridiplantae; Streptophyta; Magnoliopsida; Amborellales; Amborellaceae
Description: long non-coding RNA (ATRI_LNC004386)
Source: RNAcentral